Molecule: ribosomal RNA, 254 nt
Filed under: uncultured bacterium
Lineage: Bacteria
Description: partial 16S ribosomal RNA
Rfam family: Bacterial small subunit ribosomal RNA
Source: RNAcentral
CACGUAGGGGGCAAGCGUUGUCCGGAUUUAUUGGGCGUAAAGAGCUCGUAGGCGGCUCAGUAAGUCAGGUGUGAAACCUCCAGGCUCAACCUGGAGACGCCACCUGAUACUGCUGUGGCUAGAGUCCGGUAGGGGAGCGUGGAAUUCCUGGUGUAGCGGUGAAAUGCGCAGAUAUCAGGAGGAACACCAACGGCGAAGGCAGCUCGCUGGGACGUCACUGACGCUGAGACGCGAAAGCGUGGGGAGCAAACAGG